GUAGGUGGCAAGCGUGUCCGGAUUUACUGGGCGUAAAGCGCGCGCAGGCGGCACAUCAAGUCUGGGGUGAAAUCUCCCGGCUCAACCGGGAGAGGUCUCUAGAUACUGAUGAGCUUGAGGGGAGUAGAGGAGAGCGGAAUUCCCGGUGUAGCGGUGAUAUGCGUAGAUAUCGGGAGGAACACCAGUGGCGAAGGCGGCUCUCUGGGCUCUACCUGACGCUGAGGCGCGAAAGCGUGGGGAGCGAACCGGAUUAGAUACCCGGGUAGUCCACGCCGUAAACGUUGGGCACUAGGUGUGGGGGGUAUUGACCCCUCCCGUGCCGAAGUUAACGCGUUAAGUGCCCCGCCUGGGGAGUACGGCCGCAAGGCUA
RNAcentral lists this ribosomal RNA (370 nucleotides) under uncultured organism. Its description in RNAcentral is "partial 16S ribosomal RNA". It matches the Rfam family "Bacterial small subunit ribosomal RNA", at positions 527 to 896 of the family's 1533-position model. The record is from RNAcentral.